UGGGGAAUAUUGCACAAUGGGCGAAAGCCUGAUGCAGCGACGCCGCGUGAGUGAAGAAGUAUUUCGGUAUGUAAAGCUCUAUCAGCAGGGAAGAAUAAAUGACGGUACCUGACUAAGAAGCACCGGCUAAAUACGUGCCAGCAGCCGCGGUAAUACGUAUGGUGCAAGCGUUAUCCGGAUUUACUGGGUGUAAAGGGAGCGCAGGCGGCGUGAUAAGUCUGAUGUGAAAGCCCGGGGCUCAACCCCGGGACUGCAUUGGAAACUGUCGCGCUAGAGUGUCGGAGAGGUAAGUGGAAUUCCUAGUGUAGCGGUGAAAUGCGUAGAUAUUAGGAGGAACACCAGUGGCGAAGGCGGCUUACUGGACGAUAACUGACGCUGAGGCUCGAAAGCGUGGGGAGCA
This 400-nucleotide ribosomal RNA is filed under the name uncultured bacterium. RNAcentral's name for it is "bacterial SSU rRNA". It matches the Rfam family "Bacterial small subunit ribosomal RNA", at positions 355 to 770 of the family's 1533-position model. The record is from RNAcentral.